GUCACAUGACCGGUUUAACCCACAGAGCUAGUUGCUCCUUUACGGGUAACCUGCUAAUGCAAUACUGAAAUAUAGGUUAACACAGUGGUAUAUCGCUUCAAAAUCGCUAAUCACUGAGACGUUUGAUUUAAUGUGGUCCUGAGCAAUUCUAAUCAUGUGGAUCGAAAAAAAGGAAUUUAAUUUAAAUUUCACAUGCUCACUAAAAAGUGAUAUUUCCACUGGGUUAACAGCAACUAAUGACAACACAGUUUGACAGAAAGACUGGACAAGUGACGACACAAAUGACACUUUACACACACUGUUUUAAAC
Molecule: non-coding RNA, 309 nt
Organism: Paramuricea clavata
Lineage: Eukaryota; Metazoa; Cnidaria; Anthozoa; Malacalcyonacea; Plexauridae
Source: the annotation of a GenBank genome assembly